GAAAUGCGUUAAGUAAUGUGAAUUGCAGAAUUCAGUGAAUCAUCGAAUCUUUGAACGCACAUUGCGCCCGCCAGUAUUCUGGCGGGCAUGCCUGUUCGAGCGUCAUCUAAACCUUCAAGCCCUGCUUGGUGUUGGGUGCCUGUCCUGCCUCCGCGCGCGGACUCACCUCAAAUCCAUUGGCGGCCCCCGCGUCGGCCACGAGCGCAGCAGAAACGCGAACUCGUGAGCCCGUCCGGGCGGCUCCCAGAAGCUACACCCACCCAGUUUGACCUCGGAUCAGGUAGGGAUACCCGCUGAACUUAAGC
RNAcentral lists this unclassified non-coding RNA (305 nucleotides) under plant metagenome. RNAcentral's name for it is "partial contains 5.8S ribosomal RNA, internal transcribed spacer 2, and large subunit ribosomal RNA". The stretch from base 1 to 105 matches the Rfam family "5.8S ribosomal RNA", at positions 50 to 154 of the family's 154-position model. The record is from RNAcentral.